AUGGCCUGGGGGCACUGGGCCCCUGGGUCCUCCAGACCACUGACAUCUCUUUAAAUGACUCAGCUCGGCCCUGGUUCUCGUCUCACCAGUGGCAUUGUCUGUGUGGUGAGAACUGCUUGAGCUGUGCAGGCUCCAGCAGGAACUGUAGCAGGUGUAAGACGGGCUUCACACAGCUGGGGACCUCCUGCAUCACCAACCACACGUGCAGCAACGCUGACGAGACAUUCUGCGAGAUGGUGAAGUCCAACCGGCUGUGCGAACGGAAGCUCUUCAUUCAGUUCUGCUGCCGCACGUGCCUCCUGGCCGGGUAAGGGUGUCUAGCUGCCCACAGAGGGCAG
This 338-nucleotide small RNA is filed under the name Pan troglodytes (chimpanzee). RNAcentral describes it as "processed transcript". The record is from RNAcentral. Lineage: Eukaryota; Metazoa; Chordata; Mammalia; Primates; Hominidae.